UAUGGGUGUAUAAUUUUCACUGUGGAAUAAGUGUUGUAAAUAUAUCUAUUGAAAUGAGAUGUUAUUCGAUUUUAAAUAUAUCUAGUUUUUUAAGAAAAAAAUUUAAUUUUAUUUUUAUUUAAUUACUUAAUUUAAUUUAUAAUUUUGUAUUAGUAAAAUUUUAUUUUUUAGGGGAUGAGCUUUAAAAAAUAUUUAUAUAAUCUAUUUUUUUUAUUUUAAUAAGUAGGAUUAAAAGUUUCUAUCUUUAAAAGUGUUUUAUCACAAUUUAAAGUUUGUAUAAAAUUUUAAUUUAGGUUUAUUUUUUUUAUUAAAAUUUAAAUUUUAAUUAUAAAAAUUUAGAAAUUAUGAUAAAAUUAGUAUAAAUUUUUGUUUAGUUAUUUAAUUUUUUAAAGGUUAAGUAAAGGAACUCGGCAAAUAUAUUUUCCACCUGUUUAUUAAAAACAUGUCCUUUUGAUAAUAAUUUAAGGUCUGACCUGCCCUAUGAUGUAGAGUUAAAUGGCCGCGGUAUACUGACCGUGCGAAGGUAGCAUAAUCAUUAGUUUCUUAAUUAGAAGCUGGAAUGAAGGGUCGAAUGAGAGAAUAGCUGUCUCUAUUUAAAUUUAUUAGAAUUUUAUUUUUAAGUUAAAAAGCUUAAAUUUUUAUUGAAGACGAGAAGACCCUAUAGAGUUUUAUAAAUUUGGCUAUAAAAAAUUUUAGUAUUAUAAAAGUUUAUUGUUGUGUUUAUUUAGUUGGGGUGAUUGAAAAAUUAAUAAAACUUUUUUUUUAUUUUAACACUAAUUUGUGAUUAGUUGAUCCUUUUUUUAAGAUUAAAAGAUAAAAUUACCUUAGGGAUAACAGCGUAAUUUUUUUUUAGAGUUCUAAUCGAAAAAAAAGGUUGCGACCUCGAUGAAAGGGUAAAAUUUAUUUUUGGUGUAGCAGCUAAAAAAUUAGGUCUGUUCG
RNAcentral lists this ribosomal RNA (939 nucleotides) under Rhinusa melas. Its description in RNAcentral is "partial 16S ribosomal RNA". The stretch from base 394 to 597 matches the Rfam family "Archaeal large subunit ribosomal RNA", at positions 1797 to 2106 of the family's 2987-position model. Lineage: Eukaryota; Metazoa; Arthropoda; Insecta; Coleoptera; Curculionidae. The record is from RNAcentral.